This 129-nucleotide small RNA is filed under the name Fukomys damarensis (Damara mole-rat). Its description in RNAcentral is "sRNA (ENSFDAG00000015764.1)". Lineage: Eukaryota; Metazoa; Chordata; Mammalia; Rodentia; Bathyergidae. The record is from RNAcentral.
AGUGGGCCAGGAGCUUUAUUUAGCUGUCCCGAAAUCCCACAGACCUGGACAGGACUCCUGAGUUGGUGUCCUUGCUGCUCAAGAGGACAAAAGCUCGUGAGCAGGAUCUUCCCUCUGGGAAGACAGCCA